GACGAACGCUGGCGGCGUGCUUAACACAUGCAAGUCGAACGGAAAGGCCCUGCUUGCGGGGGGUGCGAGUGUCGAACGGGGGAGUAACACGUGGGUGAUCUGCCCCUUACUUUGGGGUAAGCCUGGAAAACUGGGUCGAAUACUGGAUAUGGCCGUGCUUUAGGUGGGGUGGUGGAAAGAUUAGUUUCGGUGAGGGAUGAGAUCGCGGCCUAUCAGCUUGUUGGUGGGGUAAUGGCGUACCAAGGCGUCGACGGGUGGCCGGCCUGCGAGGGUGGUCGGCCACAUUGGGGGUGAGGUACGGCGCAGACUCCUACGGGAGGCAGCAGUGGGGGAUAAUGCACAAUGGGGGGAAGACGGAUGAAGCGGCGCCGCGUGGGGGAUGACGGCCUUCGGGUUGUAAACUACUGCCAGCCAUUGCGAAGCAGUUGUGGUGACGGUAGUGGUAGAAGAAGCACCGGCUAACUACGUG
RNAcentral lists this ribosomal RNA (469 nucleotides) under uncultured bacterium. Its description in RNAcentral is "partial 16S ribosomal RNA". It matches the Rfam family "Bacterial small subunit ribosomal RNA", at positions 28 to 507 of the family's 1533-position model. The record is from RNAcentral.